AGAGUUUGAUCAUGGCUCAGGAUGAACGCUGGCGGCGUGCUUAACACAUGCAAGUCGAACGAACCUUCGGGUUAGUGGCGGACGGGUGAGUAACGCGUGAGAAUCUGCCCUCAGGAGGGGGAUAACGGUUGGAAACGACCGCUAAUACCCCAUAUGCCUACUGGUGAAACGAAUUUCGCCUGAGGAUGAGCUCGCGUCUGAUUAGCUAGUUGGUGAGGUAAUGGCUCACCAAGGCUUCGAUCAGUAGCUGGUCUGAGAGGAUGAUCAGCCACACUGGGACUGAGACACGGUCCAGACUCCUACGGGAGGCAGCAGUGGGGAAUUUUCCGCAAUGGGCGAAAGCCUGACGGAGCAACGCCGCGUGAGGGACGAAGGCCUCUGGGCUGUAAACCUCUUUUCUCAAGGAAGAAGAUAUGACGGUACUUGAGGAAUAAGCCACGGCUAAUUCCGUGCCAGCCGCCGCGGUAAUAC
RNAcentral lists this ribosomal RNA (471 nucleotides) under uncultured bacterium. Its description in RNAcentral is "bacterial SSU rRNA". It matches the Rfam family "Bacterial small subunit ribosomal RNA", at positions 8 to 526 of the family's 1533-position model. The record is from RNAcentral.